CGCGGCCUAUCAGCUUGUUGGUGGGGUAAUGGCCCACCAAGGCUUCGACGGGUAGCUGGUCUGAGAGGACGAUCAGCCACACUGGGACUGAGACACGGCCCAGACUCCUACGGGAGGCAGCAGUGGGGAAUCUUGCGCAAUGGGCGAAAGCCUGACGCAGCAACGCCGCGUGGGGGAUGAAGGCUCUCGGGUCGUAAACCCCUUUCAGCAGGGACGAAACUGACGGUACCUGCAGAAGAAGCCCCGGCCAACUACGUGCCAGCAGCCGCGGUAACACGUAGGGGGCAAGCGUUGUCCGGAUUUAUUGGGCGUAAAGAGCUCGUAGGUGGUUCGGUAAGUCAGGUGUGAAACCUCCAGGCUCAACCUGGAGACGCCACUUGAUACUGCUGUGACUGGAGUCCGGUAGGGGAGCGUGGAAUUCCUGGUGUAGCGGUGAAAUGCGCAGAUAUCAGGAGGAACACCAGCGGCGAAGGCGGCGCUCUGGGCCGGUACUGACACUGAGGAGCGAAAGCGUGGGUAGCAAACAGGAUUAGAUACCCUGGUAGUCCACGCCGUAAACGUUGGGCACUAGGUGUGGGUCUCAACCAACGAGAUCUGUGCCGUAGCUAACGCAUUAAGUGCCCCGCCUGGGGAGUACGG
RNAcentral lists this ribosomal RNA (639 nucleotides) under uncultured Actinomycetes bacterium. RNAcentral describes it as "bacterial SSU rRNA". It matches the Rfam family "Bacterial small subunit ribosomal RNA", at positions 232 to 885 of the family's 1533-position model. Lineage: Bacteria; Bacillati; Actinomycetota; Actinomycetes. The record is from RNAcentral.